This 468-nucleotide ribosomal RNA is filed under the name uncultured bacterium. RNAcentral's name for it is "partial 16S ribosomal RNA". It matches the Rfam family "Bacterial small subunit ribosomal RNA", at positions 28 to 507 of the family's 1533-position model. The record is from RNAcentral.
GACGAACGCUGGCGGCGUGCUUAACACAUGCAAGUCGAACGGAAAGGCCCUGCUUUUGUGGGGUGCUCGAGUGGCGAACGGGUGAGUAACACGUGAGUAACCUGCCCUUGACUUUGGGAUAACUUCAGGAAACUGGGGCUCAUACCGGAUAGGAGCUCCUGCUGCAUGGUGGGGGUUGGAAAGUUUCGGCGGUUGGGGAUGGACUAGCGGCUUAUCAGCUUGUUGGUGGGGUAGUGGCUUACCAAGGCUUUGACGGGUAGCCGGCCUGGGAGGGUGACCGGCCACAUUGGGACUGAGAUACGGCCCAGACUCCUACGGGAGGCAGCAGUGGGGAAUAUUGCACAAUGGGCGGAAGCCUGAUGCAGCAACGCCGCGUGCGGGAUGACGGCCUUCGGGUUGUAAACCGCUUUCGCCUGUGACGAAGCGUGAGUGACGGUAAUGGGUAAAGAAGCACCGGCUAACUACGUG